RNAcentral lists this long non-coding RNA (540 nucleotides) under Rattus norvegicus (Norway rat). RNAcentral describes it as "long non-coding RNA NONRATT019241". Lineage: Eukaryota; Metazoa; Chordata; Mammalia; Rodentia; Muridae. The record is from RNAcentral.
GCUGAGAGGGCACGGCUCCGAGGCUAGCGGUAUUUUUUAGAGAUUGAUGGAAGCAGAAACCAAAACUCUUCCCCUGGAGAAUGCAUCCAUCCUUUCAGAGGGCUCUCUACAAGAAGGACACCGAUUAUGGAUUGGCAACCUGGAUCCCAAAAUCACAGAGCUCUACAGGGAUGCUCCCCAGAGUGGUUUCCAUUCCCACCUCUCCUUGUCUGGAUGAAAAUCUAAAGCAUGGAAACAGUGCCAGCCAUGUUGGCUGCAGCUCUCUGUAAUGAGGCUCCUGUGCUGCUCCUGUCCUGAUGCUCAUCGAAGGCUCACAGGGCAUCUGCCCUGGGGCUUGUGUCAGAAUGAGCGUAUGACUGUAGUCCUGAAUUACAUCUUUAACAGGAACACUGGAUUGAGACUUUCCCACAUUUCAGUCAAAGGCAGAUACUAAAUGCCAACUGUGUGUCAGGGCCUUGCUGGCUAAAAGUGCUUUGCUGUGCUGUACCCGUAGUAUCCCUAUUUCUCUAUUGCCAAAACAAUUUUCUCUAUCUUCCUUCU